RNAcentral lists this ribosomal RNA (427 nucleotides) under uncultured Bacilli bacterium. Its description in RNAcentral is "bacterial SSU rRNA". It matches the Rfam family "Bacterial small subunit ribosomal RNA", at positions 355 to 774 of the family's 1533-position model. The record is from RNAcentral. Lineage: Bacteria; Bacillati; Bacillota; Bacilli.
UAGGGAAUCUUCCACAAUGGGCGCAAGCCUGAUGGAGCAAUGCCGCGUGAAUGAAGAAGGUCUUCGGAUCGUAAAGUUCUGUUAUUAGAGAAGAAAAGAUCAAGGGGUAACUAUCUUGGUUUUGACGGUACCUAACCAGAAAGUCACGGCUAACUACGUGCCAGCAGCCGCGGUAAUACGUAGGUGACAAGCGUUGUCCGGAAUUAUUGGGCGUAAAGGGAGCGCAGGCGGUUGGAUUAGUCUGAUGUGAAAGCCCACGGCUUAACCGUGGAAGGUCAUCGGAAACUGUCCAACUUGAAUACAGAAGAGGAAAGUGGAAUUCCAUGUGUAGCGGUGAAAUGCGUAGAUAUGUGGAGGAACACCAGUGGCGAAGGCGACUUUCUGGUCUGUAAUUGACGCUGAGGCUCGAAAGCGUGGGUAGCAAACA